CAGUAGCCACGGUAAUACGUAGGUGGCAAGCGUUGUCCGGAAUUAUUGGGCGUAAAGGGCUCGCAGGCGGUUUCUUAAGUCUGAUGUGAAGGCCCCCGGCUCAACCGGGGAGGGUCAUUGGAAACUGGGAAACUUGAGUGCAGAAGAGGAGAGUGGAAUUCCACGUGUAGCGGUGAAAUGCGUAGAGAUGUGGAGGAACACCAGUGGCGAAGGCGACUCUCUGGUCUGUAACUGACGCUGAGGAGCGAAAGCGUGGGGAGCGAACAGGAUUAGAUACCCCGGUAGUCCCUGUCUCUUAUAC
This 301-nucleotide ribosomal RNA is filed under the name uncultured bacterium. RNAcentral describes it as "partial 16S ribosomal RNA". It matches the Rfam family "Bacterial small subunit ribosomal RNA", at positions 509 to 807 of the family's 1533-position model. The record is from RNAcentral.